AUUGAACGCUGGCGGCAGGCUUAACACAUGCAAGUCGAGCGGGGGAAGGUAGCUUGCUACCGGACCUAGCGGCGGACGGGUGAGUAAUGCUUAGGAAUCUGCCUAUUAGUGGGGGACAACAUCUCGAAAGGGAUGCUAAUACCGCAUACGUCCUACGGGAGCAAGCAGGGGAUCUUCGGACCUUGCGCUAAUAGAUGGGCCUAAGUCGGAUUAGCUAGUUGGUGGGGUAAAGGCCUACCAAGGCGACGAUCUGUAGCGGGUCUGAGAGGAUGAUCCGCCACACUGGGACUGAGACACGGCCCAGACUCCUACGGGAGGCAGCAGUGGGGAAUAUUGGACAAUGGGGGGAACCCUGAUCCAGCCAUGCCGCGUGUGUGAAGAAGGCCUUAUGGUUGUAAAGCACUUUAAGCGAGGAGGAGGCUACUUUAGUUAAUACCUAGAGAUAGUGGACGUUACUCGCAGAAUAAGCACCGGCUAACUCUGUGCCAGCCGCCGCAGUAA
RNAcentral lists this ribosomal RNA (501 nucleotides) under uncultured bacterium. Its description in RNAcentral is "partial 16S ribosomal RNA". It matches the Rfam family "Bacterial small subunit ribosomal RNA", at positions 30 to 523 of the family's 1533-position model. The record is from RNAcentral.